RNAcentral lists this long non-coding RNA (592 nucleotides) under Gossypium raimondii (Peruvian cotton). Its description in RNAcentral is "long non-coding RNA (GRAI_LNC001887)". The record is from RNAcentral. Lineage: Eukaryota; Viridiplantae; Streptophyta; Magnoliopsida; Malvales; Malvaceae.
UACAAUUUCGAAUAAGAGCAUCAUACUUAUCUUGAGCCGCCACUCGCCACUUUUUUAUGUACAAACGCUUUAUCAAUCGUACAUGGCUCAUGAUCAAGUAACGCAACUAUCAAAGCUUUAGGUUUGAAGAUACCUGCUUUGGACCAGGUGAUCAUACAAUGUGUAUAGCCUUGGGGUAGUGGAGUAUCUACUGUUGGUGAUAGACAACAUCGAUGUGGGGGAAGAAGUGCUGCUACCGUGAUCCAAGGCACCAACGUCAUUUUUCAAAGGUGACAACUCAAGUGUGGGAGGAGAAGUGUUGCUACUGGGACCCAAGGCACCAACAUCAUUUUCAAAAAACGGUGAGUCUAUGACACCAUGAGACGAAACCGUAGGACUUCAUAUGUCGGCAUCUCUGUUAGGAUACUAAUGUGAUUGAGACUGUACAAGAGGAACAAACGCGGUAACACAGUCGGUUGUUAAGGUAGAAGGUGAAGAGUUUGUAGCAAACAAAAAUCAAUUUUCAUAAAAAGUAACCUGUCGAUAUACAAUAAUUUUACCAUCAGACGUAAGACAUUGAUAUCCUUUAUGCUGAAAACUGUAACCCAAAAAG